GCCGGGCGUGGUGGCGUGCGCCUGUAGUCCCAGCUACUCGGGAGGCUGAGCCCGCCGGAUCGCUUGAGCCCGGGAGUUCUGGGCUGCACUGCGCUAUGCCGAGCGGGCGUCCGCGCUAAGGCCGGCAUCAAUAUGGUGAGCCCCGGGGAGCUGGGGCACACCAGGU
This is a non-coding RNA of Nestor notabilis (Kea), 166 nucleotides long. It matches the Rfam family "Metazoan signal recognition particle RNA", at positions 1 to 165 of the family's 299-position model. From Rfam's summary of the family: The signal recognition particle (SRP) is a universally conserved ribonucleoprotein. It is involved in the co-translational targeting of proteins to membranes. The record is from Rfam. Lineage: Eukaryota; Metazoa; Chordata; Aves; Psittaciformes; Psittacidae.